GCAAGUCGAACGGCGGCACGGGUGCUUGCACCUGGUGGCGAGUGGCGAACGGGUGAGUAAUACAUCGGAACGUACCUUAUAGUGGGGAAUAACGCAGCGAACGCAUUGCUAAUACCGCAUACGCCCUAAGGGGGAAAGCGGGGGAUCGAAAGACCUCGCGCGAUUAGAGCGGCCGAUGUCUGAUUAGCUUGUUGGUGGGGUAAAGGCCCACCAAGGCGACGAUCAGUAGCUGGUCUGAGAGGACGAUC
Molecule: ribosomal RNA, 248 nt
Filed under: uncultured bacterium
Lineage: Bacteria
Description: partial 16S ribosomal RNA
Rfam family: Bacterial small subunit ribosomal RNA
Source: RNAcentral